Non-coding RNA from Phascolarctos cinereus (koala), 1089 nucleotides. NCBI's taxonomy places the organism in Eukaryota, Metazoa, Chordata, Mammalia, Diprotodontia, Phascolarctidae. The record is from RefSeq and is a predicted model, not a curated record.
UAGAAGGCAGACAAAAAAGAAUUAUAUUCAGGCCUUUCAAAUUAUUCAUGAAACACUCUACAAAACUAGUUUCAGGAAAUAAGGAUGCACUGGAAUACAAAAAGAACGUAUUGCCAAGAUGGGAUAUUUUUGGAUACAUUAGGAUUGAUAGUUCAGCUGGUAUGUAAAAUUUAAGGGUAAGUGGGAGGGAAGCAGAGGUAGAAAACAUCUGUCUUUUCCAAUGGAGAUGAAUCAUAAAAGGAGAAGAAUGGAUUAACCUCUCUGCUGUAAUACGGCAGGGGGUGACAAAUUGCAUUCUUACCCGAAGGCAUACAUAGGACUGGAAACUGCUCGAGAGAAGAAGUAAAAAGAAAAAGAUAAAUAGCAAAUAAAGGGGAAGGAAUACGGACAGCACAACACAAGGAGGCAGGAAAAUGACCCUAGCGAUACCUUCUUACCUUAUCUGAAAAACUGGUAGAUCAACUGGCUAUGCUAUGGAGCUGAGAAGGAUGAUAAUGAAACAAUAAAAACAACAUUUAUCAGAAUAAUUUACUUGAUUAUGACUCAACUACCAGGGUAUCUGUCACAUUAUAAGUGCUGACUCUACGCUUGCUGACUGAUCAGAGAAUGUCAUGGUAUUCCUUGGAUACAAGGUUCAAUUAGCAGUAUUAAACAGAGGAAAGUUUCUUAAACAUCACUGAAUCCAGUGUCCUCGUUAUACAGGUGAGGAAACUGAAGCAAAGUCAAGUGAAUCACCCUCAUCAAGUCAGUAAGAAGCAGAGCUGGUAUUUGAUCCCAGGAUCUGACUGCAAAUCCACUGUCUCUUCCAUUAUACCACAGCAUAUAGAUUACAUAACAUAUCACUUAAGCUUAUAUACUAGAACCAGAUGCAGUCCAAUAUCAGUGAGGUUGAAAAUAAAUAUUGUAACAAAUCUAUCCUAUGUUUUAAUGAACUCUAGCUUAAGGGAACUGACUGUGCAUAUCGUUAUCUGAAAUAAAUCAGCUGCAGAUAUGGUAUUACCUAAGAAAGUGUCUUCUGCACCUUUGGUGAAUACUUUUAUUAAGUAUUUUACCAAGAAUUUUACUGUUAAAAACAUAUAUACAUGUAUG